GGGGGGGGGGGGGGGGGGGGGGGGGGGGGGCGGGGGGGGCGGGGGCGUGGGGGCUGGGGGCGCACGGGGGCGGGACGCGUGGGGACCGGCCCUUAGGUUCGGAAUAACUCCCCGGACGGGGGUCUAAGCCCGGAUGCGGUCUUCGGCGCAAAGAGUUCUCGCCUUUGGAUGGGCCCGCGUUGGUGUAGCUCGUUGGUAGGGUAAAAGCCUACCAAGGCGACGAUCCAUAGCUGGUCUGAGAGGAUGAUCAGCCACACUGGGACUGAGACACGGCCCAGACUCCUACGGGAGGCAGCAGUGGGGAAUAUUGGACCAUGGGCGAAAGCCUGAUCCAGCAAUGCCGCGUGAGUGAUGAAGGCCGUAGGGUUGUAAAGCUCUUUUACCCGGGAUGAUAAUGACAGUACCGGGAGAAUAAGCUCCGGCUAACUCCGUG
RNAcentral lists this ribosomal RNA (433 nucleotides) under uncultured bacterium. RNAcentral's name for it is "partial 16S ribosomal RNA". It matches the Rfam family "Bacterial small subunit ribosomal RNA", at positions 39 to 507 of the family's 1533-position model. The record is from RNAcentral.